RNAcentral lists this ribosomal RNA (481 nucleotides) under uncultured Clostridiaceae bacterium. Its description in RNAcentral is "partial 16S ribosomal RNA". The record is from RNAcentral. Lineage: Bacteria; Bacillati; Bacillota; Clostridia; Eubacteriales; Clostridiaceae.
CACGUAGUUAGCCGUGGCUUCCUCCUCAGGUACCGUCAUUAUCGUCCCUGAAGACAGAGCUUUACAACCCGAAGGCCGUCAUCACUCACGCGGCGUUGCUGCAUCAGGGUUUCCCCCAUUGUGCAAUAUUCCCCACUGCUGCCUUCCGUAGGAGUCUGGGCCGUGUCUCAGUCCCAAUGUGGCCGAUCACCCUCUCAGGUCGGCUACGCAUCGUCGCCUUGGUGAGCCGUUACCUCACCAACUAGCUAAUGCGCCGCGGGCCCAUCUCAUAGCGGAUUGCUCCUUUAAUUGCUACUUCAUGCGAAGCUACAAUCUUAUGCGGUAUUAACUCUCCCUUUCGGAAGGCUAUUCCCCUCUAUGAGGCAGGUUGCCCACGUGUUACUCACCCGUCCGCCGCUACGCUUUGUUCCGAAGAACCUCCACUCGCUCGACUUGCCUAGUGUGUUACGGCUACGCCCGCCAGUCCGUCGUCCUCGAGUCC